This is a long non-coding RNA of Polypterus senegalus (gray bichir), 1940 nucleotides long. RefSeq lists it as uncharacterized. The transcript has 2 exons. The record is from RefSeq and is a predicted model, not a curated record. NCBI's taxonomy places the organism in Eukaryota, Metazoa, Chordata, Cladistia, Polypteriformes, Polypteridae.
UUUAAACUAGCUGUUUAGGUUGCGGCGUGCUGUUGUUGCUGUAGGCAAUCAGGCAAUCAGUGAAGGCUGCAGCAGUGUUUGAAAGAUAGGGUGUACUGACCGGCUUCGGCUUCGGCUUCGGCUUCAUUUAUGUUGGAUGGAAGGCGGUUUGGCAGUUUGGAGAAUUGAUGGCAGAAAGUGUAAUCGAAUGGUAUGAGCUGUCCAGAGAAUGGUGAAAGGCAGGUUUCCGGAAAAACUAUAAAUACACCCGAAUUGAUUCGGGAGCCGGUGUGUCGUCCAGUCGUAAAGUAGGUGGCCUUUACCUUUAAAAAAAGGAACGAAUAAUACAAUAUUUUGCUCUAUCUGAAGCAAAUGCAGCUAAAUUUUUAAGAGAUCGGACACUUUUGGUGCAUUUAAAAGCUAGACAGCAAUGUGAGAUGGCUUUUCGGUUAAAACCUACUGCAUGACAGGCAAAACAGUACUACCGGAGAAAUGUUGGUAAUGCGGACUAAUUACGAGAAUGCCUCUAGAUGUUAUCCAUUAACCAAGUUUAAAAUAAUUUUGUGAAUCAUAUACAGUAUUUGUGAACGAUAAACGUUUAAAAGGAUUUUGUGAUGAAGUGAGAGAGAGCACGUACCUACCAUCCAUCCAUCCAUCCAUCCCACUCGCGGGGCCGCAGGAGCCGAUUGCACACACGUUUAGACUGGCGUAAAGAAGUUAUCGGAUAGGCUUCAUUUGAAUCACAGGAGCUCUGCGUGUAUGUGCCAUUUCCACUGUGAUGUUUGAUGGUCAGGCGUUUGGAUAUAUAGCAGCUGUGUGGAAGGUUUAAAGAUGCGAGCUGAUGUGCUGGAGUUUAUAAAUACAAACGCGGCGAAGAUGGCUUUAGGACAAAAUGGGCUUUAAUAUACAGGAUGCCCUGUAGAAAAGAAAGCUGUAAAUGCACAACAUGGUACAAAUUUGGGCAUUAGAUGCACAGGCUGUUCAGGAAGUGCUAAAAGCUGUAGCGAUGGGGCAGAGUAACAUUGUUAAUAUCGAAAAGGUGGAGUAGGGGAUUGUACAUAUCCAGAGCUGGUGCAGUAUCUAAAAAAUGUUAGGAGUUGUAAAGAAACCGUCUUGUUGAUAGAUGGACGCCCUUGUAACGGGCACAAUAUAUCCUACAUAGUGGUGGUCUAUGAUAUAAUUGUCAUUACAAUGUAUGUAAGAGCUUGCUACAUUUUUGAAACAGUUAUUUAAAAGAAAUGGUUUCAGUGUGAAGUACAUUUCCUGCAUCUUUGCUCCACAGUCAAGCUCAGUAGGUGUAGGAUGUGCACCUUAUGCCAGCUAACAUUAAAUAAGAGAUCAAGAAGAUGCUCUGCUUUUCAGUUCGAUAAGGGCAGCUGAUGGGCUCUUGUAAGGAGAUAUUUUAUUGAAUACCACAUCAACUUGUUAUUCACCUGCCAUUAUCUUACAGAAACAAAUUCUUGAGGCUAUGGAUUUGAUUUACUUUGUCUACACCAGAGUCGGCAUACAGAAUGAAUGAGUACAGUCACAUUUUUGGAGAAGCACAAUUGAAUACGUGUUUUACAUACUCUUAAAGACAUUUUCAUUUAAAGAUUUAUUCUUACUGUUUGUAAAUUGUAAAAUGUUGAUAACCUGUGCAUAAACUACUUUUCAAAACACUUUAAAAUUUACUUUUCUUUAAUUGUGCCAUCCAAAAAAGCAGUUUUUAUUUAGAACUUGUGAAAUAGAGUUUCAAAAUGUUAAAUGAGAAACAUAUUAUCCUAAUUGCUGUGUACCUCUUGAAACAUUAAUUUGCAUUGAUUUGUGGAAUUUCUUUCCUUUUUAGUUUUUUGAGCUGAUUAGUUAUGUUGUGACAAAGUAAUGUUUAUAAAGUCCUUUAUAAUCGAGUUACAUUAUUUUUGGCUGUAGCAAUUCCUGACAUAGAAAGAAUAGCACACUUAGUAAAGAGAAAUGGCAAUCUA